RNAcentral lists this ribosomal RNA (327 nucleotides) under uncultured eukaryote. RNAcentral describes it as "partial 18S ribosomal RNA". It matches the Rfam family "Eukaryotic small subunit ribosomal RNA", at positions 1470 to 1796 of the family's 1831-position model. The record is from RNAcentral.
CCCUUAGAUGUUCUGGGCCGCACGCGCGCUACACUGAUGAAUGCAACGAGCUCUACCCUUGACCGAAAGGCCCGGGUAAACUUGUGAAACUUCAUCGUGAUGGGGAUAGAUUAUUGCAAUUAUUAAUCUUCAACGAGGAAUUCCUAGUAAGCGCGAGUCAUCAGCUCGCGUUGAUUACGUCCCUGCCCUUUGUACACACCGCCCGUCGCUCCUACCGAUUGAAUGGUCCGGUGAAAUCUUCGGAUUGCUGACCAAGAUCCAGCAAUGGAGCUUGGUUGCGAGAAGUUGAUUAAACCUUAUUAUUUAGGGGAAGGAGAAGUCGUAACA